AUUUAAGUAGCUUAAAUUUAGAGCGUUAUAUUGAAGAUAUAAAAGUAGAGAUAUUAUCUCUUAGAUA
RNAcentral lists this transfer RNA (67 nucleotides) under Cheumatopsyche brevilineata. Its description in RNAcentral is "tRNA-Phe". It matches the Rfam family "tRNA". From Rfam's summary of the family: Transfer RNA (tRNA) molecules are approximately 80 nucleotides in length. Their secondary structure includes four short double-helical elements and three loops (D, anti-codon, and T loops). Further hydrogen bonds mediate the characteristic L-shaped molecular structure. tRNAs have two regions of fundamental functional importance: the anti-codon, which is responsible for specific mRNA codon recognition, and the 3' end, to which the tRNAs corresponding amino acid is attached (by aminoacyl-tRNA synthetases). tRNAs cope with the degeneracy of the genetic code in two manners: having more than one tRNA (with a specific anti-codon) for a particular amino acid; and 'wobble' base-pairing, i.e. permitting non-standard base-pairing at the 3rd anti-codon position. The record is from RNAcentral. Lineage: Eukaryota; Metazoa; Arthropoda; Insecta; Trichoptera; Hydropsychidae.